GAUGAACGCUGGCGGCGUACCUAAUACAUGCAAGUCGAGCGAACAGACGAGGAGCUUGCUCCUCUGACGUUAGCGGCGGACGGGUGAGUAACACGUGGAUAACCUACCUAUAAGACUGGGAUAACUUCGGGAAACCGGAGCUAAUACCGGAUAAUAUAUUGAACCGCAUGGUUCAAUAGUGAAAGACGGUUUUGCUGUCACUUAUAGAUGGAUCCGCGCCGCAUUAGCUAGUUGGUAAGGUAACGGCUUACCAAGGCAACGAUGCGUAGCCGACCUGAGAGGGUGAUCGGCCACACUGGAACUGAGACACGGUCCAGACUCCUACGGGAGGCAGCAGUAGGGAAUCUUCCGCAACGGGCGAAAGCUUGACGGAGCAACGCCGCGUGAGUGAUGAAGGUCUUCGGAUCGUAAAACUCUGUUAUUAGGGAAGAACAAAUGUGUAAGUAACUAUGCACGUCUUGACGGUACCUAAUCAGAAAGCCACGGCUAACUACGUG
This 497-nucleotide ribosomal RNA is filed under the name uncultured bacterium. RNAcentral's name for it is "partial 16S ribosomal RNA". It matches the Rfam family "Bacterial small subunit ribosomal RNA", at positions 28 to 507 of the family's 1533-position model. The record is from RNAcentral.